AGUGAACGCUGGCGGUAGGCCUAACACAUGCAAGUCGAACGGCAGCACAGUAAGAGCUUGCUCUUACGGGUGGCGAGUGGCGGACGGGUGAGGAAUACAUCGGAAUCUACUUUUUCGUGGGUGAUAACGUAGGGAAACUUACGCUAAUACCGCAUACGACCUACGGGUGAAAGCAGGGGAUCUUCGGACCUUGCGCGAUUGAAUGAGCCGAUGUCGGAUUAGCUAGUUGGCGGGGUAAAGGCCCACCAAGGCGACGAUCCGUAGCUGGUCUGAGAGGAUGAUCAGCCACACUGGAACUGAGACACGGUCCAGACUCCUACGGGAGGCAGCAGUGGGGAAUAUUGGACAAUGGGCGAAAGCCUGAUCCAGCAAUACCGCGUGGGUGAAGAAGGCCUUCGGGUUGUAAAGCCCUUUUGUUGGGAAAGAAAAGCAGCAGGUUAAUACCCCGCUGUUCUGACGGUACCCAAAGAAUAAGCACCGGCUAACUUCGUG
RNAcentral lists this ribosomal RNA (492 nucleotides) under uncultured bacterium. RNAcentral's name for it is "partial 16S ribosomal RNA". It matches the Rfam family "Bacterial small subunit ribosomal RNA", at positions 29 to 507 of the family's 1533-position model. The record is from RNAcentral.